This 386-nucleotide ribosomal RNA is filed under the name uncultured bacterium. Its description in RNAcentral is "bacterial SSU rRNA". It matches the Rfam family "Bacterial small subunit ribosomal RNA", at positions 30 to 417 of the family's 1533-position model. The record is from RNAcentral.
AUUGAACGCUGGCGGCAUGCCUUACACAUGCAAGUCGAACGGCAGCGGACCUUCGGGUGCCGGCGAGUGGCGAACGGGUGAGUAAUGCAUCGGAACGUGCCAUUGAGUGGGGGAUAACGUAGCGAAAGUUACGCUAAUACCGCAUAUUCUGUGAGCAGGAAAGCAGGGGGACCGCAAGGCCUUGCGCUCUUUGAGCGGCCGAUGUCAGAUUAGCUAGUUGGUGAGGUAAAGGCUUACCAAGGCGACGAUCUGUAGCGGGUCUGAGAGGAUGAUCCGCCACACUGGAACUGAGACACGGUCCAGACUCCUACGGGAGGCAGCAGUGGGGAAUUUUGGACAAUGGGCGCAAGCCUGAUCCAGCCAUGCCGCGUGAGUGAAGAAGGCCU